RNAcentral lists this ribosomal RNA (582 nucleotides) under uncultured bacterium. Its description in RNAcentral is "bacterial SSU rRNA". It matches the Rfam family "Bacterial small subunit ribosomal RNA", at positions 102 to 694 of the family's 1533-position model. The record is from RNAcentral.
ACGGCGUAGUAAUGGAUCGGAACGUACCCUUCGGACGGGGAUAGCUACGGGAAACUGUAGGUAAUACCCGAUAACAUCUGCGGAUCAAAGGUGAGAUUCCGCCGGAGGAGCGGCUGAUUUGAUAUUAGCUAGUUGGUGGGGUAAAGGCCUACCAAGGCGAUGAUGUCUAGGGGGUGUGAGAGCAUGGCCCCCACGACCGGAACUGAGAUACUGUCCGGACACCUACGGGUGGCUGCAGUCGAGAAUCUUCCGCAAUGGACGAAAGUCUGACGGAGCGACGCCGCGUGCGGGAUGAAGGCCCUUGGGUUGUAAACCGCUGUCAGAGGGGAUGAAAUCUUCGGAGGUACUCCUCCGAAGUUGACAGAGCCUCAAAGGAAGCACGGGCUAAGUACGUGCCAGCAGCCGCGGUAACACGUACUGUGCGAACGUUAUUCGGAAUCACUGGGCUUAAAGGGUGCGUAGGCUGCGAUGCAAGUCAGGUGUGAAAUGCCGGAGCUCAACUGCGGCAUUGCGCUUGAAACUGUGUUGCUUGAGUAUUUCAGGGGUGUGGGGAACUGCCAGUGGAGCGGUGAAAUGUGUUGA